UGGGGAAUUUUGGACAAUGGGGGAAACCCUGAUCCAGCCAUCCCGCGUGUGCGAUGAAGGCCUUCGGGUUGUAAAGCACUUUUGGCAGGAAAGAAACGUCGCGGGUUAAUACCCCGCGAAACUGACGGUACCUGCAGAAUAAGCACCGGCUAACUACGUGCCAGCAGCCGCGGUAAUACGUAGGGUGCAAGCGUUAAUCGGAAUUACUGGGCGUAAAGCGUGCGCAGGCGGUUCGGAAAGAAAGAUGUGAAAUCCCAGAGCUUAAUCUUUGGAACUGCAUUUUUAACUACCGGGCUAGAGUGUGUCAGAGGGAGGUGGAAUUCCGCGUGUAGCAGUGAAAUGCGUAGAUAUGCGGAGGAACACCGAUGGCGAAGGCAGCCUCCUGGGAUAACACUGACGCUCAUGCACGAAAGCGUGGGGAGCAAACAGGAUUAGAUACCCUGGUAGUCCACGCCCUAAACGAUGUCAACUAGCUGUUGGGGCCUUCGGGCCUUGGUAGCGCAGCUAACGCGUGAAGUUGACCGCCUGGGGAGUACGGUCGCAAGAUUAAAACUCAAAUGAAUUGACGGGGUC
RNAcentral lists this ribosomal RNA (573 nucleotides) under uncultured bacterium. RNAcentral describes it as "partial 16S ribosomal RNA". It matches the Rfam family "Bacterial small subunit ribosomal RNA", at positions 355 to 920 of the family's 1533-position model. The record is from RNAcentral.